GUGCUGGAUAAAUGUUUGACGAAUAAAUGAAAGGAUAAUUUAACACAAUAUUAGCGAUGUUAGUAGAAUAAUAACGUGAAUCAGUCUCAAGCAGUCAGUUAUUCUUUCCUGUUUAACUGUCUCCCAGAGACAGCCUUAGGCCUUGGGAGUUGAAUCUGCCUCGGCUGAAUUUUCAAAUGACAUGGCCAGCUUUCUUAAAAAUGUAUUUCCAUUCCAUUCCAUUCCACACUUUGUUAUGAUUCUUGGCUGUCUUCCUGGACCUUGUGACAAAUCCUCGCAGAGAAAAUGCCUUCUACACCGGGACAUUUGCCAAGAAGAAGAGAGGCGCUACAGGAAAGGAACCCCAGAAAGUGGUCCACUGCCAGAAUGAUGACGACUCCUGGAACUUUCUCUGAUUCUUAUUCUCCCUCCUACCUUGCUCAUCAUCUUAUGUAUUCAGCUACGAUGCUUCACCCAGACCAUUGCACAUCACAUCAGAGAGGAAGACACAUGUGUGAUUCAUUUUCUUAAGCCUCAAGUCUAAGGAUUUACCUAAGGACCCAGGAAUGUCAUGAGGUCCUGUUUCCUCCUUUUACUUAAAAAAGUCACCUUCCUGUGAAAUAACCUGCUAUUUUGCCAAACCGGUCUGUCAGUAUAAGGAAGCCUGGGAAUGCCUUAGCGGACCUGUAGAGUAAGUGCUCUAAUAUAUGUACAAUGGGCUGAAAGUAAAAAUGCGUGUGGGAAAGGCCAUAGUCACUAGCAUGCAACCCUGAUGUUUGGGUUUAUCUUUUGUAAAUAAGAGAGAUGUUCUUCUUCUACGUGUACAUAAACACAACAGUUUAGUGUAACCCAAACUGUGCUGUGCGGCCUCAGAGCGCCUGUGGCUUUGCCAAAGCCUCAUGCUCGUGUACACACAUUUCACACGGGGCCCUUCCCGUUGCUAAAGGAGCUCGAGUCACUUUUUUGUGAAUGUCCUGUGAUUGGCAGGAAGGCUGGCUGUUGUAAGUAUCAUAUUGUUCUGCGGUAGAGAAUAUAUUUUAUUGCUAGUUCAAUAGCAUUUCACAGUUAUUAAGCCAGAGUCAUUGUCUCUGCAAGCUCCCGAAGGCUCAGAAACUUUGGGGCACAGGCAAAAAAACCCCACACAUGCUCAAAACCUGUCAGUUAUCCCCAUUGUCCCACUGUGGCUGUCAUACUCUGCCUGCGGUGUUUAAAAUGUUUGGGGGGAAAUGUUGAGAAAGUGGAUUUCUAAGCAUAUCAUGUAUAGCCAUUUUUUUUCAUAAAGAAGAAUUUAUCAGAAAUCACAUUUGUUUUGCAAUGCUUAAAAAUAAAAACACUUGAAAAAUGGCA
This 1326-nucleotide long non-coding RNA is filed under the name Felis catus (domestic cat). Its description in RNAcentral is "lncRNA (ENSFCAG00000051725.1)". The record is from RNAcentral. Lineage: Eukaryota; Metazoa; Chordata; Mammalia; Carnivora; Felidae.